This 265-nucleotide unclassified non-coding RNA is filed under the name soil metagenome. Its description in RNAcentral is "partial contains small subunit ribosomal RNA, internal transcribed spacer 1, and 5.8S ribosomal RNA". The record is from RNAcentral.
UUUCCGUAGGUGAACCUGCGGAAGGAUCAUUAUCGAAUAAACUAGGUGGGUUGUUGCUGUCCCUUUCGAGGGAAUUGUGCACACCUUACCUUUUUUGUUUUUCCACCUGUGCACACAUUGUAGGUCUGGAGGGGAAGGGAGGCAACUCCCUGACGUUUCAGGUCCUAUGUCUCUACAUAUACACUAUUAAAAGUAACAGAACGAUUCAAUGGGCUCUAAGCCUAUAAACUAUAUACAACUUUCAGCAACGGAUCUCUUGGCUCUC